This is a non-coding RNA of Podarcis lilfordi (Lilford's wall lizard), 9584 nucleotides long. NCBI's taxonomy places the organism in Eukaryota, Metazoa, Chordata, Lepidosauria, Squamata, Lacertidae. The record is from the annotation of a GenBank genome assembly.
ACCAUUCCCACACAUAUUCAUAUUCAUUCACAUAUGAUCAUGACAAACAUAUGCACACAUUCAUCCUCCCUUCUCCAUGUGCCAUCCUCCCAUCACAAUUGUGUUUACCACCACUCCAAGCCCACCUGGCAGCUGUUUGCCAGGCUUGGGAGCUGUAUAGACUUGAAUGGAGUGAAAAGGGGGAUGCAGCAAAAUUUGGUAGUGGGGGGUAAUUCAACCGGGGGCUUGGACACUGACACAAGCCACUCUGAGAGCAUCUGGGGGCCAUAAGUGGCUACCAGCCAUAGGUUUCCCAAACAUGAUUUAAAGGGUCAAGCUCUUGGCCUAGCACCCAAUACUCCUCUCCAUUAAUUCUUUCCUGGCUUAGUACCUGUGCUGAUGAUUCAGUGAUAGGGAGCAUGGCAACCCAGACAGAAGUAUCCUGGCUGACUGUGGCUGGUUCUAGGCCUUACCCUUCUAUAUGUUGGUUAUAUUAUGUUCAACAAUGCUAUCCAAAACUUUUCUUGGGAGACAGUGGACUCAGGUAUACAGCUGCAAACAAAACAUUUUGAAUGUGUUGUAAAGUGCAAUGUGACACUAGAUGGCGACGGCGAGCUAUAGCAAAUCCAAUGCAUUUUUUCAAAACAAUUUUUUUUAAAAAAAGCAUUUUUGCCACGUUUUUAACAUGUGUAUAGAUCCCACCAGUAUGGUAACCAGCUUUUAAAACAUUGGUGUAAAAAUAUAUUGUAGUUUUAAAGCUUUCCCUCAUUAUCUUGCCCAAGAACAUGCAUUAUUAUUAAUAAUUAAAUUUGUAUAUCACCCUUCAUCCAUAUUGUAAUGAAUUUGUUGUUGCUUAAGUCAAAUCCUAAGCCUCAAACUGAAAAUGGCUUCUAGACUCAAACUUUAGACAUAUAGAUGUGACCAUUCAAACAUCUCAUUGGUUCUUGUCCUUUGAUCUACAGCAAGAGAGCUAGGCAGGGCAACCCUAUCCUUUGAAGUAAUUCCCAUCAAAUUCAAUGGGACUUUUUUGCAGGCAAGUGAGCUUAGGAGUGCUGCCUCACUCAUUCAUUUUGAUGUUACUGAGUGCUCUGCAUAUCUUUCCCAUACGCUCAUCAGAUUAUGUAAUCAAAAUGAGGAUCUCAUUCCCUUUCUACACUAUUAUUUUACUCAUUUUGAAAUUGAAAGUGACACUGCCAAGUAAUUUAGGCCUCACAAAAAUAUAUAUAAUAAAGUUAAGAGCUUAAAAAUCCUAAUAGGAUCAAAAAUGCUUUCAUAACAUUGUAAUAAAAAUGUCAGAGAAAAUGAGAGCUAAGUAAAAUUGAUUCAGAUCUUUGCCAUACAUAUCAAAAACCUUGUAAAUUUUGAUCAGGAGCAAACUGUUGUAUACAAAGUUCCCAACAUUCAGAAGCCUCAUCCAGCAGACACUAUUAUAUACGAUAGAUCUUGUCUUAUCUAUUGGAAGACAGGAAAAGAAUCCACUAUAUAUUUUGGAAAGUGGUUGGUUUGUCUGUUCUCUAUGCACCAGACACUUCUUGAGAUAUUAUCACAUACUUGGUAUAAUGGUUCCAGAGAUGGAGGAGGUAGCUGUCAUCUAAGUUUGGAUACCAGAUGCCAUUUCAAAUCAAGAUGGCGGCGUGAAUCUAAACUUCACUGAUUCAGAUGCCUCUGGAGAUAUCACCCAGUUUGCUGUGAUGAUUCCCAAAACUGAAAAGCGAAUUUUAGUCUAUAUAUUGGGAUACCUUCAGGUGCUAUUUUGAACUCAGAUGGUGGAUCAUACUAUUCAAAACUGUUCAGAUGCUGAUGCCUUGGAAAUCAUCACACAAUCUGACAUAGUGUUGUCCUAUUUGGCAUGAAAGUUCCAACCUGCACCAAUUUAGAUGCCUCUGAAGAUGCCACUGCCCAAUUUGGUGUAAUAGUUCCUGAGAAUUAGGAGUGGGUUUUUGUUUAUGUUUGGAUACCGUUAGAUGCCAUUUUGAAGCAAAAUAACCGACAUAAGCAUUUCAGACUGCACUGAUUCUAACCAAAUUUGGCAGGAAAAAUUGUAGGGCUGAACGAAACCAGGACAACCUAGGCAGAUCCAGUAGACAGAACCAUCUAUUCUCUCCUCCUUUGGUGCCUCCAGGAUGUAGGUGGUGGGGGAGAUAACUCUGCCUCCUGAAAGGUGGGAGCGCUGGCAAAAUGCCCCCCUCUUGAAAGGAAGGGCUAUUCCCAAUGUCUGAUCGCACUAGGGUAGGUGACAUGGCACACCACUCUCAUCAUGGAGAUAGGUAAGGCAAGUGAGCACAUUCAGGGAGCCCUCCCAAGAUGCCCACUAUCAGGCUGCCCCAAUUCUGGCAAAGAGCUCUACAUCCCACAGGAGCCUUACCACAGGUUCUCAGUAAACCCUCCAUCUGUAUCAUCCCGUCUUGACCAGCCCAUGGCAAUGGCAAAGAGGGGAGUCUGGCAUGGCAGCAGAGCACAUGCAGCAGUGCAGGAGCCACCCAUGUGGGGUCGAAUCCCUCAGGCUGCAGGGGUCUGCUCUGCCCUUUUGAACCCCACCGGGGGAAGUGCUGGCAAAGCAACACCCAGCAGGACUAAACCCUUCUGCCCUCUGCAGUGUGGUCAUGAGGGGUGAAGAGAAGGCACAGCAUCUCCUUCCUCCACCACCUUCCUGACUGUAUGGGAUAUUUAAAGCCCUAAUUAAACAUUAGGGUCCCACCACCACCGCCAAAUUGAUUCAGGGCUAGCUUCUGGUGCAAUACUCAGAGUUCCCUGGGAAGAGGGGUUGGUUGAUAAACCACUCAGGAAAUUGUAGCUGCAUGCAGGAGACAGGAGUAUUAACAAUACUCAGCACCCUUAACAUACUGCUGUUCCUGGGAAUUUGGUGGUGGGGGGAGCCAUGAUUGUUUAUGAAGUGGUGUGAUCCUGCUUUAAAUGCAUAGUGCAGAUAGGGCCAGAGAAAGGGGAAAGAGGAGAAAACAGAAGGAAGGGAAAGGAGCUUGAAUCAGAAGUCUGUAAAAUACUACUACUCUUCAUGCUCUAAUAGCCAAUAUACUGCCAGUCAGAACUCUAUGUGUUGCUAUUGUGUCUUUACAGCCUCUGGAGUUCCAUAGUUAAAGUUAAUCUCCUACAGUCUCUUGUCAACUGGGCUACGAUAUACUGUAUGAUUUUAGAGUUGCUCUUUUAGUUGCCAUAGCACAUCCACUAGCCUGGUUUGGACUGGAACUGAACAAGUAACAUCUUAAGCUGUACAGGUGUAUGGGUUCAACAGUGGGGUCUGCCAUUGUCUCAGAGCAGUCUAAAGAAAGAUCUCUCCACACAGUUCUUAAAAUCUUGCAUCAAUGUUGUGAAGAGACCCCAGUGUAUUCGAUGAGCAAAAUCUGCAGUCUAUUUCUUUACGUCAGCCUCCACCAACCUAUUGUCCUUAAGAUGUUCUGAACUACAACUCUCAUUGACCCCAAUCAUCCCAGCCAUGCUAGCUGGGACUGACACAAGUUGUAGUCCAAAGUCUGUGGUGGGCACCAGGUUGGCAAAGAGUGUUCUACAUAAAUACAUCACUCAGGUUUUCUUAUCUAGUGUAGCUCCUUGCUUCCUAUACACAUGUAGAUCACUUCAUUGGCAAGAGUCUCGAACUGCACUUCUUGGUUCUUAUCUUAACACUUCUUUAGAGUUUGCUGCCGACAGUGAUCUCAUUUUCCACAUGUUCACUUAACCAUUGUGAUAUCAUACUUAUCUGUAAACAUCUAUAGGAGUGAGGUGGGCAAGCACUUGUAAUUUCCCAAAAGAUCACAUUCUGCUAUCUUUAAUUAGGUUCUUAUUCUUUGUCAUUUUCCCCUGUUCCCACAGCAUGAAAUUGUGUCAAUCUGGAAAAUGAAUUGGUGUUCUAAAUCACAAAUGAUAAUAGGACAAGAGCUGGACAUAAUUCUCUUUUACAUUUAUCCGGUUUCUUCUUCUCCCCCACCCCCAAUCUUUUUUUAAAAAAUAGCACAUAGCAUGAUAUGAUCUUCAGCCAUUCUAUGGCAUGCUUUUCUUCUUUGUCUACCACUGUCACUGAAUGCCAUCUAAAAUUAAAUGGGAAAAAUUGCUGGGGGAUAACAUGGGACUAUAUGAAGCGGUCAGACUAUUUGUUCAUCUAGCCCAAGACUGCCUAACUACUCUGUCUGGCAGCAGGUCUCUGGGGUCUUCAGCAAGAGAUAUUUUGCAUCAAUGGCUACUGGACCUUUUUUAAACGAGAGAUAUGCUGGGGUUGAACCGAGGACCUUUUGCAUGCAAAGCAUAGGAUCUGCUAUUAAGGUGUCCAAGUAAGUAUCAUUUUUAAGAACAACAAAAAAGCCCUGUCUCUACUUGGCACCUUCACUUGGGGGAGGGAGGGAGAAGUGGAGGUACCAAAUACAACCCAAGCUGGGGAAAAGGCACACCAACUUUCCUUUAUCACUCAUGCUGUUUUCCACAACAUGACACUGCAGCUGGUCAGCUGGUGAGUGCUGAUGCGACCCAAGAGUUCAAUUUUCUUUAGUCUCACAAGAAAGUUGAGGAUAUCAGGGGUUUUCACUUUGGUUUUCUCACAUAUAGCCAGCCCAGACCUUUUUCUUUUCUUUUCUUUUUUUUGCCUGAGGUACAUUUGCAGAUGGUGUCUCCCACUCCACUUCCAAGUGAAGGUGCAGAAUGUCCCAACACGGUCUAUGGCAUCUGAGACCAAAAAUCCUAUAAGCACCUCUCCCCCUUCCCCCGGCUGUAAAAGUACAGUAACUGUGAAUUAAAUAAGCAACAACUGGCAGUCAUUUCAUAACAUCCCAAAUCGGCUAUCUGAGGUGUUGCCUCAUAUUGUCCAAUGGCAGAUUUGGCACUGCAAGCAAGCCCAAUUCAUCUUGCAGCAGUUUGCUCUAGUGAAGAAGCUUGCAGAUAGGUCUGUCUAAUGGAAUUUUCUCAGAAAAAUAACAUCUCAGAAGUGUGAAUGAAGGCAUGGAUGCAUCUACAAAAUCCUGUUGAACUGAACAUGGCUUCUCACAUGUAUAAACCUUGGCAGGUUUGAAGCCGCAUCUUUGGACAGCAAUGAAUAUUCCUGGCACUCUGCACUAAAUAACACUGCAAUUUACUGUUUCAAACCCAGUUGAGAUUAAGCGACAGCUUUAUUAAGGGGCAAACCUCAUCUAGCUUACACAAUGAUCAAAUGGAUCUUGGCAAUCACUAAUGCAAACAGGAGUGUUGCAGACAUUUGUUUCAGGCAAAGCCAGUCCAAGAUUAACUAUAUGUUGCUGAAAUACAAUUAAAAAGAGAGUGAUGCAAACCAUCAAGGAAAACAUUAUUCUUACUUUGCAUCCUCUUCUGUCCAAGGCCCAGCUUUUAUUAAUGCUUUGAUCAUUGUGUGCCAUGCAAUCUUUGUUAUUCAAAAGCUCCUUUUAUCGCCACCAGGGCUUGGCCAAUAACCUUGAAUGAUAACUAAUGAGCAAUCAAGGAAACAGAUCAUCUCAAAUCACACCCAACCUUUAAGGUGGGGAUAAGCUUGUGAAAUAAGUUGGUAUCAUCUGAACGUGGGGUGUGGGUCAAGAGACCUGGAAUGGGAGAAGGGUGGGAAAUAAGAACUUUUCCAGAGCGAUGGAAACACAGCUCUUACGUUUGGGGCUCCAAGGGGUACUGCCGUGGCUUUAGGACCGGUCUGUUUUGCAGCUAGUGCUAUCUGCCUGUGAAUAUGCUUGCUUGCCACUUGUUUAGCCUGUAAGUUUCAGGGACUGGCAGGGCUCCAAAGAGUGUGUGGCAGAGGCAGGGGACCAGGGCAGUGACCCAGAAGAGGGGAGCUGUGGUUUAUGGGGUGUGAUGUCAACCGCAAGGCAGGAGCCGGGGGAGGAGGGAGAAUCAGGGCAGACUGAGAUGGAUGAAGGAGAAGUCUCAGGUUGAGGGCAUGCAACCCAUCAGGGGAGGGUAUUUAAGCCACCACAGGGGCGGAGCUUCCCUGAUGCUGCAACUGCUCCAUAGGGUCUAGACCUGUGGACAGCUGCCCAGAGGCUAGAAGCGUGUGAGCAUGUAUAUUGUGAGCACCUUGCUGCAAGUGUUUCUCUUUCCAAUAAAGAGUUAACUAUCAGAUGUGUGUCUUCCUUAUCUGGGGCAGGCUGUGAUAGCAGGUCUGUAAAAAAGCAUUUGCAAAAGGUAUUAAGUGUCCAGUAGAAAACUGGCAAAGAAAAAGAAAGCUGCUCUAGAAUUUCCCAUUACUAAAGGGAGUGGGAAAUGAAACACUAUUAUUAUUUAUGAAGAAGGCACAUAACAUUGAAGUGUUAUUACCUUCACUAGGAUGAAAUUCUGACCUCUCAUGUGCCUAUAAUAAAGCUCUUAUUAAUUUUAGUGUGGCCAAUAUCCAAUCCUAAAUCAUUUCUUUAUCAUAUGCAUAUUCUUUGUUCAUAGAGUAGAGGACAAUUUCAUGGUGUUCUGCUAAGACUAUAAAGUUAAUUAAUUUAUUACAGGCUGUCUUAAAUUAUUGUACCAAGGGAUAGUAUACGUGCAUCAAUCAGCUGCUAAGCUACUCCCCAGUACUUUUUAAUAUUCAUUCAGCAGUGCUUGACAGGUGAUGACAAUGGAAAACUUCCUCUUUGUGAUAUGAUAUGACUUAACUACACACACACACACACACACACACACACACACACACAUUCACACUAGCCAAACACACAAUCCAGCUAUCCUACGCAUGGAAACCUAUUGAAAUCAAUUGCCUUAAAUGCACUUCUCUCUAUGCUAGAUAAUGCAUAGUACUUCCUAAUUCUCCUCACAGAAACAUGAUCUGCACCAGCAAUGGAGCAUGAAGAUGAUAUGAGAGAUGAAGAAUGGGGCCAGUACUUUAUGUUAGUUUCCAUAUUGAUUUGAUUUUACUUAACCUACCCAUUAGUCAAAAAUGUAUUUAACUGGCUUGAAGUAGUUUGGGGAGGGAAUCAAUUUAAAAUUAUAACAAACAAUGUAAUAAACAAUAAAAAGCAAACUAAUCACUUAUGAGACAAUAACAUUACAGCCUCGGUGAGGGGAAGUCACUGUGUGGAAGUGCUUUCCAGUGACCUCCAUGGGGUAGAUCUUGUGUAAAUCCAUUCUAUGCUAAUAACAUUCUGAGCACAUUGCAGGAUAAUUGCUGCAAUCCUGUAAAAGACUUCCCAACACGUCUGCUCAUUGAAAUCCUCAGCACAAUGGCUUGCAAGUAAUUUUGAGUGUGUCAGGAGUGUGCGCCAUACUUGUAGCCAGACCAAAGAUUUACAUAAAGUGUCACUGGUGCCAGCUAACACCUCCACAUAGGUGCUAAUUGUACAGAUUGUACAAGUGCAAUAGUAUUUUUGAAGCCACUAUGAUCAUGCAAAUCUCAUCAUUACACUUAUUCAGCUCUCAUGUCAAGGAACCAUCACACACAAACAGUGUGUCUAAAGUGAACAGAGGCUAUCCACAAGCUAGCAUUAUUUCCUGUGAAACGCUGGCACCAAGGCUUAGCAUCAUUGGGCACAUGCCAAGAUUUACACCACUGCCAAUCCCUGGCGGCUCCUAACCCUGCUCCUCUUCUUCCUUGCUACCUAUUUUUCAUGUGAGUGAGGAGCAAGAGGAGCAGUAAAAUUCACACCUCAUGGCAUCACUCCCUCUGAAAUAUGGUACAACUGAGCCCAGAGGGAGAAGCAAGCAGAUUGGCAGCCAACAACAGGGUUGAGGUGGUGGGACCAUUCAGACAGAAACCCAUCCACUUCAAACCUGAAAUAAGCACUUGUCCCUGUGGACUCUAUAGGUAUUAUCGUGGAGACCAUUGUUAAAGAUGAGCCACCUAAAGUACCAUUGAUUUUACAGGGAUGUAUUUCCAAGUGUGCCUGAGACAGCCAAUCUAUACUUCUCUUAUAGAAAUCUAAUCCCAGUCCCAUGACAAGCACAAAGACACAUUUUUACUCAGGUUGAGAAUCUUGCCAGAAUCUAUUUAAUUCUCGCUUGACUCAUAAGCGAAUAGGAUAGAAAAUCAACCCACAAUAUGACUGACCAUAUCUUCCUUAUUGGAUGGCAGCAAUCAUUUAAUAUAUCAUUUUCAAAUAAAUCACUCUGCUGUGCCUAGCAGACCAUGGUGAACGGGGUGAGGGGAAUCCUUCCAAUCUUGAAAAUGUUAAAACCGCAUCAUUCAAUCAAAUUUUUUCACUCAUCCAGUUGUUGAGCACAUAUGGGAAACUCAGGCCCCAGCUAAGUUCUGCUUUAUGGAAGAUGUGUGAGAAUUAAUUUUAUCUGCUUGUGGCUGAGGCUAAAGCAAACGCAUGGAGCCACAUGGUCUUUGCUCUGCUUUGAAAGCUAUUAAAUGUAUCCCAGACAUAAGUUUCUCCCAUAACUGCUGCCCAUUUAACUAUUGUAGAUGCUUCUUUUUAAUUCCCUAAAGGGGGGGGAAAUCACUAAUCAUAGCUGGAAGAUGAUGUACACCAAGUAAACACAAGAAAGAAAGAAAGAAAGAAAGAAAGAAAGAAAGAAAGAAAUUUUGAUUCUAUGUGUUGUAAUUGUCAUCUCAUAUUUCUGAAGCUCUCCGUCAUCUAGAGCAGCAAUGAAACAUGUCUGACCUUCUAGAUGCUGUCGGGAAUUGGGACCUUAUCAGCUCCAGGCAGCAUGGCCCAUGAUCAGAGAUGUUGGGAGUUGCUGUUGUUCGGUAUUAAAUUUGUAUACCGCCCUACAUCUGUACAUAAAAUUACAAUGUAAAAAACACAAAAUACAUAAUAAAAAUAAGAAGAAAACAAACUAAAAAUUCCCCUUCCCACAACACAUUUUAAAGGGCAUCGGAUGUCAAUCAGCCAAAGGCCUGGUUGAAGAGGAACAUUUUUGCCUGGAGCCUAAAGGUGUAUAAUGAGGGCACCAGCCAAACCUGCCUGAGGGUAGCAUUCAAGAAACAGGAAGCCACUGCAGAAACGGCCCAUUCUUCCAUUCCCACUCUCCAGACCUCUCAUGGAGGAGGCACACAUAGAAGGGCUUCAGAGGGUGAUCUCAGGGUCUGCGUAGGUUCAUAUGGAGCAUGGCAGUCCUUGAGGUAUUGCAGUCUUAAGCCAUUUAGGACCUGAUAGGUCAAAUCCAACAUUUGGAGCUGGAGUCCAACAACAUCUGGAGAGUCACAGGUUGCCUUUAGAGCUUCAUGCUCACGAGCCUAAGUGAGAGAAGUUUCACCAAAACUAUAUCUUCAAGUUUGGGUUGUAUGGAUAUCUGAUGACAGGGUUAACAACAGUACCCAAAAUGUUUAUAAUAUUUUUGCAGGAAGCAUUUCAUAUACAUUGGAAUUUUAACAGCUUAGCAUUCUUGCUUGGUAUUCUGAACAAGCUUGCUGGAAUAGUUUCAGGCUUUGUUGCUAUGGUUAAGAUGCCUUAUAAUCAACACAAAUUAAUGCUGUUCGGUUCCAUGUUGUCUUGCUCUAUAUAUUGUUUAUUGCUAUGCUGUCAAAUUUUGUGUUUGUACUCUCUUUUAACAUUGUAAAGAACACCACACCAUUCUUUUCUGAGCUCGUUCAAAUGAAUUUAUUCUUUGUUGUGAGUAAGAUUCCACCAAUAGAAUAUCAGCCUCAACAAUGCAGAGGCUUUCUUGACAUCUGUUGAGUCUGAAUCAGAGGACUGAGAGACAACGGGUGUCACUGGAGAUCUCCAUUGUCAUUACCC